This 305-nucleotide ribosomal RNA is filed under the name uncultured bacterium. RNAcentral describes it as "bacterial SSU rRNA". It matches the Rfam family "Bacterial small subunit ribosomal RNA", at positions 338 to 660 of the family's 1533-position model. The record is from RNAcentral.
CCUACGGGAGGCAGCAGUCGGGAAUAUUGCGCAAUGGAGGCAACUCUGACGCAGUGACGCCGCGUAUAGGAAGAAGGUUUUCGGAUUGUAAACUAUUGUCCACAGGGAAGAAAAAGACUGUACCUGUGAAGAAAGCUCCGGCUAACUACGUGCCAGCAGCCGCGGUAAUACGUAGGGAGCAAGCGUUAUCCGGAUUUAUUGGGUGUAAAGGGUGCGUAGACGGGAUAACAAGUUAGUUGUGAAAACCCUCGGCUCAACUGAGGAACUGCAACUAAAACUAUUAUUCUUGAGUGCAGGAGGGGAAA